UUCCUUAGCAAUAUACGUAUGUCACUCCAGAUAGUUCACCCAAGAUAUUUUUGCUAGACUUCUUGGCUGCACCAGAAAUUUCCCUUGGUCAUUCUUGCUUUACUUCUUUGUUUUCUUCCUUCUUUGUUCUUAUUGGUUGCACCUUUAUUUCUUCUUUGACUUUCUCAAAGAAAGAAGACUCAAGAAACUCUUUUGCUCCCAUUUCCCACGGAUCCAUGCAAAUCAGAAAUUUGCACCUCACUUUUCUCUCUUUUGUCUUAAGGAAAGUGCUAGAAAGCUCUCUUGAGUCUUCCCUCAAGUCCACCGGUUCACACACCAAAAGAAAGCUCAUUUCUUCUUCAUAUUCUCUCAAAGGAACCAGAAAACUCUCUCAAGCUCUCUACCAUUCUUACAUGAGUAGUUCUAUGUCUAUUUUCCCCCACAAGAACCAUAAACUUGGUGUUACCAGUAUCCAAGUCUAAGCUCCUUCGACUUUAGGUUCUCAGUUCCUCUGCUUUCAGGUUUAGGCUUGAUAUUAGCAUGCCGGUCAUGGUCACAAAUCUGGGUACUGGGUUUGGGGCGUGACAUAGGUGAUGAGGUCAUUCACAACAUCCUAGAAGCAAAGACCGCAAAGGAAGUUUGGAAAAAAAAUAGGUCUUUAUAUGAGAAAGAAUAUGACGAACAAGUUGUACGUGAAGAAGUAAUUGUACAGUUUGCAUAUGAAGGAGGGUUCAAAUAUGUUGGAGCAUCUCAACACGUUUAACAUGUUGAACACCCAAUUGUUAAGUUUUGGGGUGAAUUAUGAGGACGAAGAUAAAGCGUUACUCUUAUUAGCGUCACUUCCUACACAUUUUGAUCGUCUAGUGACUACGUUGAUAUACGGGAAAGAGACUGCAGUACUCAAUGAGGUGACUAGUGCUCUCUCGUCACAUGUAAAGAUGAAGCAAGAUGAUGAUGGUUCUUAAGCUUAUGGAUUUAUUGUAAAGUCAAAUUCGAACAAUUAGGGUGGGAGUGAGUCAAGAUCCAAAGAGAACAGAUCUCAGUCUAGAUCAUGUGCAAAGAAAGAUGUAGAGUGCUUUUAUUGUCAUAAGAAAUGACACUACAAGAAUAAGUGUAAAGAGUUGAAAGAGCAUUUAGAGGAGAAGAGGAAUGGGAAGAAGCCCCUAGAACCAGCUAGUGUUGCUGAAGAAAUAUCAGAUGAAAGUGAAGUUGGUGCAGAUUUACUUUCAGCCUCAUCAGUUCAGGGAUCAUUUCACUUUCAAAUUGAGGCUGCUUGGGCCUUCUUUAUCUUUGGAGAUUCACUGAUUGACAAUGGUAACAAUAAUUACUUGCCAACCAAAUUGACUUUGUGCCCAUGGACAGAAGCUGUACAAAAUUUCUGGUUUUAUAAACAUUGUUAAGAUAUAACCAGAUGCUUAUCCUGCACUUGCAGCUGCAUAUCGAUGGUAAACAAGGAAUCAUAAGUUCAUAACUAUUGCAUUUGGUUACAAAAUCCCAGGCUUCUAUUGCCCUUGCAACUAGGGAGGCUUCUGACAUAUUAGGUGGUUAACUUGCAUGGAUUGAAGCAGAAUCAAUGAUAGAAAAUGUGCAGUAGCUGAAGUUGAGAAAGAUAUCAGUCCAAGUUUUAAAAUGGAGCUUUCCUUAGAGAGGAAAAAGAUUUGAUGCUGUGGAGAAAAUUUGCUGAAGAGGCAAGGCAUGAAUUUCGCAUUUCAAAGAGGAAAAAAAAUGUAAAUAAUCAUAAUCAUCAGCAAUUGUGAUAGGAUUUGAUAUGUGCAUUGGUCACAUAGCGUGUUAGUAAUUGUUUCCUUUUUAACAAUGAAGAGUAGUCUAUUUCAUUGGAUAGUUUGGUGUUUAGCUACAACAUUAGCUGCUAGGUUUGUUGUUGUAGCAUUAACUGCUUGUUGUAAACUUGAUUUUUAAAAAA
Long non-coding RNA from Quercus lobata, 1903 nucleotides. RefSeq lists it as uncharacterized. The record is from RefSeq and is a predicted model, not a curated record. NCBI's taxonomy places the organism in Eukaryota, Viridiplantae, Streptophyta, Magnoliopsida, Fagales, Fagaceae. The transcript has 5 exons.